This 368-nucleotide long non-coding RNA is filed under the name Carica papaya (papaya). Its description in RNAcentral is "long non-coding RNA (CPAP_LNC010952)". The record is from RNAcentral. Lineage: Eukaryota; Viridiplantae; Streptophyta; Magnoliopsida; Brassicales; Caricaceae.
UCAUAUCUAUUUUGUUAUCAGCUUCCCUUUACCCCACCACAUAUUAGAGUGUCAAACGAGGGAGUGCAAGUGAGGGCAGCUGUGCCAAGUGAACGGAUGAUUGCACACUAUGUUGCACAAGCAAGGCGUGUGAGAGGUAUGCAAGGAUCUAUCCUGACACAUUGAAGUGCCAAAAAAGGACCCUUGACAUGCGAAGUGCAUACAAACAUCAAGGUUUUACCAGACACCCCUAAAGCAUCAAGAGAACCCAAUCUGGCAUGUUGUGUUGCAUAAAUGACAUGCACGAGGGGUAGGGGGGCCCUGUAUUAACACAUCUGAAGUGCUAGGGCAGCCUUACUUAGGGCGUGCUGCCAUGUAUAGUAUGUCCA